UACGUAGGGUGCAAGCGUUGUCCGGAAUUAUUGGGCGUAAAGAGCUCGUAGGCGGUCUGUUGCGUCGGCUGUGAAAACCCGGGGCUCAACCCCGGGCCUGCAGCCGAUACGGGCAGACUAGAGUUCGGCAGGGGAGACUGGAAUUCCUGGCGUAGCGGUGAAAUGCGCAGAUAUCAGGAGGAACACCGGUGGCGAAGGCGGGUCUCUGGGCCGAUACUGACGCUGAGGAGCGAAAGCGUGGGGAGCGAACAGG
RNAcentral lists this ribosomal RNA (253 nucleotides) under uncultured bacterium. RNAcentral's name for it is "partial 16S ribosomal RNA". It matches the Rfam family "Bacterial small subunit ribosomal RNA", at positions 524 to 776 of the family's 1533-position model. The record is from RNAcentral.